CAAAAGGAAAAAAAAAAAAAAGAAAGGAAAAGGUCGAACAAGGUACACUUUAGGUACACUUUCUAGAAAGAUACUUUUCAUACCGCCCUCGCUAGCAUAGCUCGAAGAAAUUGGUGGAAUGCAGGAGAUCCAGAAGAUCAUCCGAUUGCACAGUUAUGUUAAAGCUUAAAGCUCAGCUUAGGCAUGCAAUAGGUACAGGCGAAUAGACUUUAUUCAUGUGAAAUCAUUCCCCUGCAUAGUUUCACUUACGGCACACGUAUAUAUAGAUUUUCGUGAUUUUCGCAAUCGCAGAGUGAAUGGUGAAGACACGUGGAGUUACAUAACUUCCAAUUUUUCACUAUUAUCUAAUCAUCCGCUGUUUAUAUGGAUUAAUAAAUCCGAAGAGUGGCGUUAGCUGAACUACCCGAGGGAAAAGUGAAAAUAAAGUGAAAUUCUUGAAAGAAGCAAAGGGAUAGGAGUACUGGAAAAUCUUAAUACAGCCAAGCCGGCCAACCAAUCUACGGUAUCAACUACUAAAACAACCAAGCUGACCGUUUGGGAGUUAGCGCAGUGCACAUCCACGGCGGCAAAGUGAAGGCUGAACCGUUGACGUUGGGCUAGCUCAAUAUCGGAAAUCAUUUACGGCUCGUGAAAGACCAACCACCAUACACCACUGCUGGACGUCCGAAUAUCAGUUUGAACCUGCCGAUCUCGUAAAAAAAAAGCCGGAGGACAUAAUCGUCACCAACCUACGAAAACUUACAAAGGAUUGAGUAAUUAGGCUAGCCUAAACCACAUUGCCUCAGAACCACUCUUGCUGUCAGCAGAUUUGUGUUUAUUUUUGAUUCCCGUGUUUCUCAAAUUAAAUUUCAAGUGCAAGUUCCCGUUUGCCUUUAUCACUAUCACAUAAAAAUCUAUACGCUGCUGCUCUAAGAACCAGCUGAUUAGAUCCACAUAUUCAUAUCUCGUUUAUCAUUGUGUUGAUUAAUGUAGUAACUAAAUAGCUUCCUCCAAUGAGUAAAUUUGUAACGUAACUGACGAUUUU
Long non-coding RNA from Drosophila miranda, 1024 nucleotides. RefSeq lists it as uncharacterized. The transcript has 2 exons. Lineage: Eukaryota; Metazoa; Arthropoda; Insecta; Diptera; Drosophilidae. The record is from RefSeq and is a predicted model, not a curated record.